RNAcentral lists this transfer RNA (67 nucleotides) under Dyscia atlantica. RNAcentral describes it as "transfer RNA-Leu". Lineage: Eukaryota; Metazoa; Arthropoda; Insecta; Lepidoptera; Geometridae. The record is from RNAcentral.
ACUAUUUUGGCAGAAAAAUGUAAUGAUUUUAGAAUUCAUAAAUAUAUAAUUUAUUAUAUAAAUAGUA